Molecule: ribosomal RNA, 393 nt
Filed under: uncultured bacterium
Lineage: Bacteria
Description: bacterial SSU rRNA
Rfam family: Bacterial small subunit ribosomal RNA
Source: RNAcentral
AUUGAACGCUGGCGGCAUGCCUAACACAUGCAAGUCGAGGGGCAGCACGUCUUCGGAUGGUGGCGACCGGCGCACGGGUGCGUAACGCGUAUGCAACCUACCUCUUACAGUGGGAUAGCCCAGAGAAAUUUGGAUUAAUACCGCAUAGUAUACAGAUUCAGCAUUGGGACUGUAUUAAACAUUUAUGGGUAAGAGAUGGGCAUGCGUUCUAUUAGUUAGUUGGAGUGGUAACGGCACCCCAAGACAGCGAUAGAUAGGGGCCCUGAGAGGGGGAUCCCCCGACACUGGUACUGAGACACGGACCAGACUCCUACGGGAGGCAGCAGUGAGGAAUAUUGGACAAUGGGCGAGAGCCUGAUCCAGCCAUGCCGCGUGCAGGAAGACGGCCCUAGU